GUCAGCAGCUCCUGAGGCACAGCAGAGAGCUCGGGGGAGAACAUUUGGAUCCCCAGCCAGCUGAAGCUUUGCCCCUCCUGGUGCAAUUCAGGCCAGUUUGAGAGUGAUUUUAUGAUAUCCUGAAAUGAAGCAUCCUUCUGAAUUAGUCGAGACCCAAAAUACCAUGGAAGUGCCUAUAACUGAGCUUGCAAAAAGGAGGACACUCAGACUGGGAGAUCCACGUGCCUCUCACGGAAUAUCCUGAGUCAGAAGGGACCCA
Long non-coding RNA from Motacilla alba alba, 259 nucleotides. RefSeq lists it as uncharacterized. The record is from RefSeq and is a predicted model, not a curated record. NCBI's taxonomy places the organism in Eukaryota, Metazoa, Chordata, Aves, Passeriformes, Motacillidae. The transcript is spliced from 3 exons.